This 433-nucleotide ribosomal RNA is filed under the name uncultured bacterium. Its description in RNAcentral is "partial 16S ribosomal RNA". It matches the Rfam family "Bacterial small subunit ribosomal RNA", at positions 29 to 507 of the family's 1533-position model. The record is from RNAcentral.
AGCGAACGCUGGCGGCAGGCCUAACACAUGCAAGUCGAACGAACUCUUCGGAGUUAGUGGCGGACGGGUGAGUAACACGUGGGAACGUGCCUUUAGGUUCGGAAUAACUCAGGGAAACUUGUGCUAAUACCGAAUGUGCCCUUCGGGGGAAAGAUUUGUCGCCUUUAGAGCGGCCCGCGUCUGAUUAGCUAGUUGGUGAGGUAAAGGCUCACCAAGGCGACGAUCAGUAGCUGGUCUGAGAGGAUGAUCAGCCACAUUGGGACUGAGACACGGCCCAAACUCCUACGGGAGGCAGCAGUGGGGAAUCUUGCGCAAUGGGCGAAAGCCUGACGCAGCCAUGCCGCGUGAAUGAUGAAGGUCUUAGGAUUGUAAAAUUCUUUCACCGGGGACGAUAAUGACGGUACCCGGAGAAGAAGCCCCGGCUAACUUCGUG